Molecule: long non-coding RNA, 1129 nt
Organism: Peromyscus eremicus (cactus mouse)
Lineage: Eukaryota; Metazoa; Chordata; Mammalia; Rodentia; Cricetidae
Exons: 5
Source: RefSeq, a predicted model, not a curated record
UGCACUGGUUACAAAGCUAGGUUAGUCUAGAAAUUGACUGCAUUCAAAUCACAGAAAAACAUCCCUCCUUCUGCAGUUGUGGACAACUUAACCAAGAACAAAAGGAUCUAGACUUCACUCUUUCUCGUUGAUCAGCAUCUUUCUAUAGGGCCCAGCCAGCAACUAAAAGGAUUACAUGGAUUUCUAGAUGUUCAUUUUCUUACUCUGUAUCCUCAAACUCCACUCUACUCUGCCACUUCCUUUGGAACUGGUGUGCAUCAGAACUUAGAAAAAGGUGGAGGCAGGCCACUCCCACAGGAUCAACAGAGUCGCUGAGCUAGUGCAGGAUUUAUCUCUGCCUGAGACAGAGCCAGAUUUCUGAUGCUGGCUCAGAGGGCCUGCCUUUAUUUUUAGCAGUUCUAGAAGCACAAGGCAUAAGGCCUAUGGUGAUGAUUUCCUUGCUGGCAGAGUCCAAUGACUAUGGAACCUAAUGGCAAGAGAGAAAGGAAUCUACAUGUGUCUCUCUUUUGAUAUUUUGUUCUUGCAAAGCCAUCAGUAUUCAUCAUACUUCACCUUGAUGACCUCCUCUAAUCUACAUCACCUCCUAAAAGUGUUCUUCCUCUGAACUUCGGUGUGUUUUUCCAGUGUCCAGUGAAUUGGACUACUCUCGAGUUAUAAGAGCGCAGUUCUGCCUCAGAUUGGAAUGAGGCAUGGUGUGGACUGUAGAGCGCUCCUACAAAAUCACCUUAUAAGAGUGCCACUUUGGAGCUCCUCCAGAGCACAAGUAUCCAGAAGAAAUUACACCACAAAUUCAAAUUUGCCUUGGAAAUCUCUUCAAGCAAAUGGCCAAGUCCAUCACUUACAUGGGCAGUUUUCCAUACAACUACAGGACACAGUUCAGGCUGUUCCUCUGGUACCUGGGCCAAAUUGAAUGAACAAUAUCCCUCUAUUUUUUUCAAUGGAAAAUACAGAGAGCUAUGCAGCAUGUUCGAGGAAAGCAAGUAAACAAACAUGACUUCCUGAUUCCCCAAGGACAAAGAUUGUAUUUUAUUCAUCUUGCCAUCCCCAAGGCCUCUUAUAGGAUGCAUCAUAUUCCAGGCAUUUAAUGUAAGAUUCAUGGUGGGAAAUAAAAGGGGGGAGAGAGCUGAAA